AUUGAACGCUGGCGGCAUGCCUAACACAUGCAAGUCGAACGGAAACGAUGGGAGCUUGCUCCCAGGCGUCGAGUGGCGGACGGGUGAGUAAUACUUAGGAAUCUGCCCAUUAGUGGGGGACAACAUUCGGAAACGGAUGCUAAUACCGCAUACGCCCUACGGGGGAAAGCGGGGGAUCUUCGGACCUCGCGCUAAUGGAUGAGCCUAAGUCGGAUUAGCUUGUUGGUGAGGUAAAAGCUCACCAAGGCGACGAUCCGUAGCUGGUCUGAGAGGACGAUCAGCCACACUGGGACUGAGACACGGCCCAGACUCCUACGGGGAGGCAGCAGUGGGGAAUAUUGGACAAUGGGCGCAAGCCUGAUCCAGCAAUGCCGCGUGUGUGAAGAAGGCCUGCGGGUUGUAAAGCACUUUCAGUAGAGAAGAAAAGCCUACGGUUAAUAACCGUGAGUCUUGACGUAACCUACAGAAGAAGCACCGGCUAACUCCGUGCCAGCC
RNAcentral lists this ribosomal RNA (495 nucleotides) under uncultured bacterium. Its description in RNAcentral is "bacterial SSU rRNA". It matches the Rfam family "Bacterial small subunit ribosomal RNA", at positions 30 to 513 of the family's 1533-position model. The record is from RNAcentral.